This 86-nucleotide transfer RNA is filed under the name Eubacterium sp. RNAcentral describes it as "tRNA-Leu". It matches the Rfam family "tRNA". From Rfam's summary of the family: Transfer RNA (tRNA) molecules are approximately 80 nucleotides in length. Their secondary structure includes four short double-helical elements and three loops (D, anti-codon, and T loops). Lineage: Bacteria; Bacillati; Bacillota; Clostridia; Eubacteriales; Eubacteriaceae. RNAcentral also lists the same sequence under 3 other names. The record is from RNAcentral.
GCGGAAGUGGCGGAAUGGCAGACGCGCUAGAUUCAGGUUCUAGUGAAUGCAAGUUCAUGAGGGUUCAAGUCCCUUCUUCCGCACCA